CCCUUAGAUGUUCUGGGCUGCACGCGCGCUACACUGAUACCUUCAGCGAGUCCACCACCUUGCCUGGGAGGGUGGGGUAACCUCUGGAAAGUGCAUCGUGAUGGGGAUCGAUUAUUGUAAUUAUUAAUCUUCAACGAGGAAUUCCUAGUAAGCAUGUGUCAUCAGCCCGUGCUGAUUACGUCCCUGCCCUUUGUACACACCGCCCGUCGCUCCUACCGAUUGGGUGCUCCGGUGAAUUGUUUGGACUGCUGUCAGUCUUUUAGGCUGUUGGCGAGAAGCUCUGUGAACCUUAGCACCUAGAGGAAGGAGAAGUCGUAACA
This 320-nucleotide ribosomal RNA is filed under the name uncultured eukaryote. RNAcentral describes it as "partial 18S ribosomal RNA". It matches the Rfam family "Eukaryotic small subunit ribosomal RNA", at positions 1470 to 1796 of the family's 1831-position model. The record is from RNAcentral.